GAUGAACGCUAGCGGCAGGCCUAAUACAUGCAAGUCGAGGGGCGGCGGGGUAGCAAUACUGCCGGCGACCGGCGCACGGGUGCGUAACACGUAUGCAACCUACCUUAAACUGGGAGAUAGCCCGGGGAAACUCGGAUUAAUACCCCAUAAUACAACUGUUAUCACAUGAUGAUGUUGUUAAAGAUUUAUCGGUUUAAGAUGGGCAUGCGUUCGAUUAGCUAGUUGGUGAGGUAAUGGCUCACCAAGGCGACGAUCGAUAGGGGGUCUGAGAGGAUGAUCCCCCACACUGGUACUGAGAUACGGACCAGACUCCUACGGGAGGCAGCAGUAGGGAAUAUUGGUCAAUGGAGGCAACUCUGAACCAGCCAUGCCGCGUGUAGGAAGAAGGCGUUCUGCGUUGUAAACUACUUUUGAUUGGGAACAAAUGACUCUUGCGAGAGUAGCUGAGUGUACCAAUAGAAUAAGCCACGGCUAACUACGUGCCAGCAGCCGCAGUAA
RNAcentral lists this ribosomal RNA (498 nucleotides) under uncultured bacterium. RNAcentral describes it as "partial 16S ribosomal RNA". It matches the Rfam family "Bacterial small subunit ribosomal RNA", at positions 28 to 523 of the family's 1533-position model. The record is from RNAcentral.